Molecule: long non-coding RNA, 929 nt
Organism: Piliocolobus tephrosceles (Ugandan red Colobus)
Lineage: Eukaryota; Metazoa; Chordata; Mammalia; Primates; Cercopithecidae
Exons: 3
Source: RefSeq, a predicted model, not a curated record
AACUACAGCUUUUCUGAAAAGCAAGGCACCUGUGCGGUGGCCGAUGGUGGCUGUGGGAGCCUCGCUGUGGACCCCGUGCCUGCCUUAGCCGCGUUGGUCUCCCUCAUCCUGUUCCCGCUGGCCCCAGCUCCACCCUCAGCGGAUAAGGAAGCCUCCCUGCCCACCCAGGGCCCUGAUCUCCGCUUUGUAGGACUCCAAGGGCCUGUGCUCAGCUGCUGCUGCUCUGCCCCCUGGUGGGCCCCUCUGUGUCCCUGCGAGGAGGCAGCUGGCAGGCAGCCCUGUGAGCUGGGUUGGGUCCCGCAAGUCUCAGUUGUGUCAUUUCCGACGUUUCUUGACUUUCUCUUUCAGGCUGAGCCCCGUCAGCCACGGAAACACGAUCGCACUCUUCUUUAGGUCACUGUUGCCAAACUAUACCGUGGAGGGGGAGAGGCCCGAGGAAGGAGUGGCUGGGGGUCUGAACCGCAACCAGGGCCUGAACAGGCUGAUGCUGGCUGUGCGCGACAUGAUGGCCAACUUCCACCUCAACGACCUAGAGGCACCGCACGAGGACGACGUGGACGGGGAAGGGGAGUGGGACUGAGCGUCUGCAGAGGUGCCUGAAAGCUGUAAUGAUGUUGCUGAUUUCUGUGCUGGUCGGAAUCCGUCAGUUCCCUGAAGUAGAGAUGCUGACUGUAUCGCUGACCUGGUCCGCUGUUUCUCCUAUAAAUGUGCCUUGAGUCCCCCCAAAUGGGGAUGUGACGUUUGGAGCUGCAGCAGGCCCCCUACGGUUGGGAGUCAAAGAAGAGCUGGUGUUCCAGGGACGGUGCCGCAGAGGCUGAGCCCAGGCCUGCUGUCCUGAGAGACGGCUGGAUCACUGAUGCCUCGGCAGUGGGGCUGGGGUUUCUGUCACGACCUGCAGCUGAGCCUAGUUCCGGUGACCGUGAGAUCUG